AUGGACGAAAGUCUGACGGAGCAACGCCGCGUGAGUGAUGAAGGCUUUUCGGGUCGUAAAACUCUGUUGUUAGGGAAGAACAAGUGCUAGUUGAAUAAGCUGGCACCUUGACGGUACCUAACCAGAAAGCCACGGCUAACUACGUGCCAGCAGCCGCGGUAAUACGAUU
This 169-nucleotide ribosomal RNA is filed under the name uncultured Bacillus sp. RNAcentral describes it as "partial 16S ribosomal RNA". It matches the Rfam family "Bacterial small subunit ribosomal RNA", at positions 371 to 530 of the family's 1533-position model. Lineage: Bacteria; Bacillati; Bacillota; Bacilli; Caryophanales; Bacillaceae. The record is from RNAcentral.